RNAcentral lists this long non-coding RNA (7482 nucleotides) under Malus domestica (apple). RNAcentral describes it as "long non-coding RNA (MDOM_LNC017158)". The record is from RNAcentral. Lineage: Eukaryota; Viridiplantae; Streptophyta; Magnoliopsida; Rosales; Rosaceae.
GAUAUGCAGGAUUCAUAACGUAUCACUGAUAAAUAUGAAUAUGCGAAAAUACGAUGGUUUAUUUUUAAUAUGGUACAAACGAUUUCUAAAAUCUAUUUUCUCCUUAUAUAUUAUGACGGUUUCAUCUCUAAUGUAGGUGCUUGAGACUACCAGCACGGAGCAAGAAACUGGAGAACAUGUGGUACACGAAAUUCAUAGAGUCCCAGAACCUCCUCGAGAUUCCAUUGAUAAAGAAACAAAUGAAGACAACUCCGCGGAAUAUCAGGUUUACCUGGACACAAACAUAAAGCCUACAAGUGCUGUCCUUUUUCUUCGUCUCCCAGUACAUAACCUAUGUUUUUUUUCCCUUCCAAUGUUAGGCAUGUACUGAGGUAGCUGAUGUGAGUACAAGUGCAGAGGAAAAGAACUUAGAGGAACAUGCCAUUCGGGAACUCUCUUCUCCACUGGUAGUAGAAGAAGCAACUAAAGAAAUCCCGGAAGUUGAAAGGCAGGACAAAAACAUUGAUACUGCACCUGAAGAAAAGGGUCAAGCAACCAUCUCAGCAGAUGAAAUGGCCUCGGAAGUUGAGGAUAUUGAUGUACAAUUAAAGGAGAAUCUUGAGUCAGAAGAGAACUUGGAGGAACAAUUUCUGAUAGCAGCAGAUGAAGGUGAAAUAAUCUCCAAAGAUGCCAAAGCAGAAAACCAGGAGCAGAUAAAAAAUGUUGAUAUUGCUCAUGAAGAUGUUGAUGCACAAGCGGAGAAAACUGUCAACUCAGAAGAGAACAUAGAUAAGCAGAUUCCUUCAAUAGCACAUGAAGGUGAAACAAGCUUGAAAGAAACCGCUGUCUUGAUUCUAAAAGAAGAGGUUAGCAUGAUAUAAGAAUUUUCGAUUUUUUUCAUUAUAGUCUAUUGCAUUACAUAUUCCAAUCAAGAAUUGAUAUCCCCUGCAGAAAAAGGAAGAAGAUACAGAAUGUAACGAGCCUUCUGAGGUAGCGAGUAUGACACAUGAAACACGAACUGAAACCACAGAGGACAUAACAGAGCCAAAUAAGGACCUCAAUGCUCCAAUUUCAGGAGAAAGCAACAAAACAUUUGUUGAAAAUAUUUCCACUCUCGCUGAGGUAUCUGAGAUGGAGACUGAGAAAAAUGGCCUGGCUGUCAGCAAUUCUGACUCUGCGUCGGGUGAAGUGAGUCAUGUAACAGGUUUGAAGGAAGCUGAAACAGAAAAGGAGGAGCAGAAAGAAAACAUGGAUACUGCUCCGGAAGAGAAGGGUCAAGCAACCAUCGUAAAAGAUGAAAUGGCCUCGGAAGUUGAAGAUAUUGGUGUACAAGCAGAGGAAAAUUGUGAAUCAAAAGAGAAGUUGGAGGAGCAUAUUCCAACAGCAGCAGACAAGGUUGAAACAUUCUCAAAGGAAGCCGAGGCAGAAAAUGAGGAGCAGAUAAACAAUGGUGAUGUUGCUGCUGAAGAGAAGGUUUCGGAAACCAUCUUAACAAAUGAAAGAACCUUCGACGUGGAAGAUACCAAUGUGCAAGCAGAGAAAAAUGUCGAAUCAAAUGAGAACUUGGAGGAGACUAUUCCAACAGCAGCGGAUGAAGGCGAAACAUCCCUGCAGGAAGCUGAAGCAGAAGGCAAGGAUGAGAUUAAAAGUACUGAUAUUGCUCAUGCAGAUACUGAUGGACAUGGAGAUGAAAUUGAUAAUUCUGAAGAGAACUUGGAUAAGCAGAUCCCAGCAGGCGAACGUGAAAUAAGCUUGAAAGCAGCCGAAGCAGAAUAUAAGGAGCAGGUCAAACAUGCUGAUAUUGUUCCUGAAGAGGAGGGUCUAGCAACCGUCUUAACAGACGAAACACCCUUAGAUGUCGAGGAUAUUGAGGUAAAAACUGACUGUGUCGAAUCAAAAGAGAAUGUGGAGGAGCAGAUUCCAACAACAGUAGAUGAAGGCGGAAAAAGUACUUAUAUUUCUCCUGAAGAUAUUGAAGUACAAGCAGAUGAAAAUUUUAUUACACUAGAGAAUUUGGAGAAGCCAAUUCUAACAACAUCAGGUGAACGAGAAACAGGCUUGGGAGAAGCUGAAGCAGAAAUUAAGGAGCAGGUCAAAAGUAUUGAUAUUGUUCCUGAAGAGAUGGCAACCAUCUCAACAGCUGAGACACCCUCGGAUGUUGAAGUUAUCGGUGUACAAGCAGAGGAAAGCCUCAAAUCAAAAGAGAGCGUGGAGGAGCAGAUUCCAACAGCAGCGGAUGAAGAUGAAAGAUUCUUGAAGGAAUCCAAAGCAGAAAACAAGGAGCUGAUCGACGAGGAAAAUUUGAAUUUACAAGAACAAGUGACUGAAAUUACAAACACAAUAGAAGAUGACACUGAAAGGGAGGAGGUAAGAUCGGAAUAAAUUUUUUUAUGAGUUUUUCUCUCUGGCUUACCAUCUGACAAGUAGUCUCCCUACACGGUUUUGUUAUUGAUUAAGAUGCAAGAUUCAUAACGUAUCACAGAUGCAUAUGAACAUGCGAAGAAACUAUGUUUUAUUUUAAAAUGGUAAGAACGAUUUCUAAAAUCUAUUUUCUCCUUAUAUAUUAUGAUGGUUUCAUCUCUAAUGUAGGUGCUUGAGACUACCAGUACGGAGCAAGAAACUGGAGAACAUGUGGUACACGAAAUUCAUACUGUCCCAGAACCCCCUCGAGACUCCAUUGAUAAAGAAACAAAUGAAGACAACUCCGCGGAAUAUCAGGUUUACCUGGACACAAACAUAAGGCCUACAAAAGUGUGAUCCUUUUUCUUCGUCUCCCAGUACAUAACCUUUGUUUUUUUUUUCCCUUCCAAUGUUAGGCAUGUACUGAGGCAGCUGAUUUGAGUACAAGUGCAGAGGAAAAGAACUUAGAGGAACAUGCCAUUCGGGAACUCUCUUCUCCACUGGUAGUAGAAGAAGCAACUAAAGAAAUCCCGAAAGAAGAAGAAACCUACCCCACGCUUCUAGAAGAAGAGGUAAUCUAGCAUUCAAUAUCAAAUUUUUAGAUUAAAAUACACUAUAGUAUUAUCUUGCAAAUUGAAAUUUACAACUCAUAUCGGCAACAGGAAAAGGAAGGGCAUGCAACAUGUAACAAGCCCAAUGAGGAAUAUGAGGCAGAGAUUGAGAAAAAUAUUCAGGAGAAAGAUGGCAACACAGUUAGCAAUUCUGAAUCUCUGUCUGGAGAACUGAGUCAUGUAACAGCCUUGAAGGAAUGUGAAACAGAGAUUGAAAGGCAGGACAGGAACAUUGAUACUGCUCCUGAAGAGAAGGGUCAAGCAACCAUCUCAGCAGAUGAAACAGCCUCGGAAGUUGAGGAUAUUGAUGUACAAUUAAAGGAGAACCUUGAGUCUAAAGAGAACUUGGAGGAACAAUUUCCAACAGCAGCAGAUGAAGGUGAAAUAAUCUUGAAAGAAGCUGAAGCAAAAAACCAGGAGCAGAUAAAAAAUGUUGAAAUUGCUCAUGAAGAUGUUGAUGCACAAGCGGAGAAAACUGUCAACUCAGAAGAGAACAUAGAUAAGCAGAUUCUGCCAAUAGCACAUGAAGGUGAAACAAGCUUGAAAGAAACCGCUGUCUUGAUUCUAAAAGAAGAGGUUAGCAUGAUAUCAGAAUUUUCGAUUUUUACAUUAUAGUUCAUUGUAUUACAUAUUCCAAUCAAGAAUUGGUAUCCCCCUGCAGAUAAAGGAAGAAGAUACAGAAUGUAAUGAGCCUGCUGAGGUAGCGAGUAUGACACAUGAAACACGAUCUGAAACCACAGAGGACAUAACAGAGCCAAAUAAGGACGUCAAUGCUCCAAUUUCAGGAGAAAGCAACAAAACAUUUGUUGAAAAUAUUUCCACACUCGCUGAGGUAUCUGAGACGGGGACUGAGAAAAAUGUUCAGGAGAAAAAUGGCCCGGCUGUCAGCAAUUCUGACUCUGCGUCAGGUGAAGUGAGUCAUGUAACAGGUUUGAAGGAAGCUGAAACAGAAAAGGAGGAGCAGAAAGAAAACAUUGAUACUGCUCCGGAAGAGAAGGUUCAAGCUACCGUCUUAAAAGAUGAAAUGGCCUCGGAAGUUGAAGAUAUUGGUGUACAAGCAGAGGAAAAUUGUGAAUCAAAAGAGAAGUUGGAGGAGCAUAUUCCAACAGCAGCAGACAAAGUUGAAACAUUCUCAAAGGAAGCCGAGGCAGAAAAUGAGGAGCAGAUAAACAAUGGUGAUGUUGCUGCUGAAGAGAAGGUUUCGGAAACCAUCUUAACAAAUGAAAGAACCUUCGACGUGGAAGAUACCAAUGUGCAAGCAGAGAAAAAUGUCGAAUCAAAUGAGAACUUGGAGGAGACUAUUCCAACAGCAGCGGAUGAAGGCGAAACAUCCCUGCAGGAAGCUGAAGCAGAAAGCAAGGAUGAGAUUAAAAGUACUGAAGCAGAAAGCAAGGAUGAGAUUAAAAGUGCUGAUAUUGUUCCUGAGGAGAAGGGUCUAGCAACCGUCUUAACAGAUGAAACACCCUUAGAUGUCAAGGAUAUUGAGGUAAAAACUGAGGACUGUGUUGAAUCAAAAGAGAAUGUGGAGGAGCAGAUUCCAACAACAGCAGAUGAAGGCGAAAAAAGUACUUAUAUUUCUCCUGAAGAUAUUGAAGUACAAGCAGAUGAAUUUAUUACACUAGAGAAUUUGGAGAAGCCGAUUCUAACAUCAGGUGAACGAGAAACAGGCUUGGGAGAAGCUGAAGCAGAAAUUAAGGAGCAGGUCAAAAGUAUUGAUAUUGUUCCCGAAGAGAUGGCAACCAUCUCAACAGCUGAGACACCCUCGGAUGUUGAAGUUAUCGGUGUACAAGCAGAGGAAAGCCUCAAAUCAAAAGAGAACAUGGAGGAGCAGAUUCCAACAGCACCAGAUGAAGGUGGAAAAUUCUUGAAGGAAUCCAAAGCAGAAAACAAGGAGCUGAUCGACGAGGAAAAUUUGAAUUCACAAGAAUCUUCAGACAAAGGAAAACAAGAAGUGACUGAAACUACUAACACACUAGAAGAUGACACAGCAAGGGAGGAGGUAAGAUUGGAAUAAACCUUUUCAUGAAUUUUUCUUUCGGUCUUAUCAUCCGACAAGUAGUUUCCUUAACGCGGUUUAGUUAUUGACCGAAAUGCAGGAUUCAUAACGUAUCACUGAUAGAUAUGAACAUGCGAAAAAACAAAGUUUUAUUUAAAAUGGCACAAACGAUUUGUAAAAUCUAUUCUCUCCUACAUAUUACGACGGUUUCAUCUUUAAUGUAGGUGCUUGAGAAUACCUGCACGGAGCAAGAAACUGGAGAACAUGUGGUACACGAAAUUCAUACUGUCGUGGAAACCCCUCGAGAUUCCGUUGAUAAAGAAACAAAUGAAGAGAACUCCGCGGGAUAUCAGGUUUACCUGGACACAAACAUAAAGCCUACAAAAGAGUUAUCCUUUUUCUUCGUCUCCCAGUGCAUAACCUUUGUGUUUUUUUCCUUCCAAUGUUAGGCAUGUACUGAUGCAGCUGAUUUGAGUACAACUGCAGAGGAAAAGAACUUAGAGGAACAUGACAUUCAGGAACUCUCUUCUCCGCUGGUGGUAGAAGAAGAAACUAAUGAAAUCCCGAAGGAAGAAGAAACCUACGCCACGCUUCUAGAAGAAGAGGUAAUCUAGCAUAGGAUAUCAAAAUUUUAGAUUAUUACAUUAUAGUAUUAUCUUGCAAAUUCAAAUUUACAGUUCAUAUCCACAACAGAAAAAGGAAGGGCAUGCAACAUGUAACGAGCCGACUGAGAAAUAUGAGGCAGAGAUUGAGAAAAAUAUUCAGGAGAAAGAUGGCAACACAGUUAGCAAUUCUGAAUCUCUGUCUGGAGAACUGAGUCAUGUAACAGCCUCGCAUGAAUCUGAAACAGAGAUUGAAAGGCAGGACAAAAAUAUUGAUACUGCUGCUGAAGAGAAGGGUCAAGCAACCAUCUUGAAAGAAAACAUUGAUACUGCUCCGGAAGAGAAGGGUCAAGCAACCAUCUUGAAAGGUAAAGCGGCCUCGGAAGUUGAAGAUAUUGGUGUACAAGCAGAGGAAAAAUGUGAAUCAAAAGAGAAUUUGGAGGAGCAUAUUCCAACAGCAGCAGACAAGGUUGAAACAUUCUCGAAGGAAGCUGAGGCAGAAAAUGAGGAGCAGAUAAACAAUAGUGAUGUUGCUGCUGAAGAGAAGGUUCUGGAAACCAUCUUAACAAAUGAAAAAUCCUUCGACGUGGAAGAUACCAAUGUGCAAGCAGAGAAAAAUGUCGAAUCAAAUGAGGACUUGGAGGAGAAUGUUCCAACAGCAGCAGAUGAAGGUGAAACAUUCCCGAAGGAAGCUGAAGCAGAAAGCAAGGAUGAUAUUAAAAAUGCUGAUAUUCCUCAUGCAGAUAUUGAUGGACACGGAGAUGAAAUCGAUAGUUCUGAAGAGAACUUGGAUAAGCAGAUUCCAGCAGGGGAAUGUGAAACAAGCUUGAAAGCAGCCGAAGCAGAAUAUAAGGAGCAGGUCAUACAUGCUGAUAUUGCUCCUGAAGAGAAGGGUCUAGCAACCAUCUUAACAGAUGAAACACCCUUAGACUUUGAGGAUAUUGAGGUAAAAACUGAGGACUGUGCUGAAUCAAAAGAGAAUGUGGAGGAGCAGAUUCCAACAACAGCAAAUGAAGGUGAAAAAAGUACUUAUAUUUCUCAUGAACAUAUUGAAGUACAAGCAGAUGAAAAUUUUAUUACACUAGAGAAUUUGGAGAACCCGAUUCCAACAACAUCAGGUGAACGAGAAACAGGCUUGGGAGAAGCUGAAGCAGAAAUUAAGGAGCAGGUCAAAAGUAUUGAUAUUGUUCCUGAAGAGAUGGCAACCAUCUCAACAACUGAGACACCCUUGGAUGUUGAAGAUAUCGGUGUACAAGCAGAGGAAACUCUCAAAUCAAAAGAGAACGUGGAGGAGCAUAUUCCAACAGCAGCAGAUGAAGGUGAAAAAGUCUUGAAGGAAGCCGAAGCAGAAAACAAGGAGCAGAUUGAUGAGGAAACUUUGAAUUCACAAGAAUCCUCAGACAAAGACAAAGAAGAAGUGACUGAAAUUACAAACACAAAAGAUGACACUGAAAGGGAGGAGGUAAGAUUGGAAUAAUUUUUUUUAUGAGUUUUUCUUUCUGGCUUAUCAUCUGGCUAGUAGUCUCACUAUACGGUUUAGUUAUUGACCCAAAUGCAGGAUUCAUAGCGUCUCUCUGAUAGCUAUGAAUAUGCGAAAAUAAGAUGGUUUAUUUGAAUAUGGUACAAACGAUUUCUAAAAUCUAUUUUCUCCUUAUAUAUUAUGACUGUUUCAUCUCUAAUGUAGGUGCUUGAGACUACCAGUACGGAGCAAGAAACUGGAGAACAUGUGGUACACGACAUUCAUACUGUCCCAGAACCCCCUCGAGAUUCCAUUGAUAAAGAAACAAAUGAAGACAACUCCGCGGAAUAUCAGGUUUACCUGGACACAAACAUAAAGCCUACAAGUGCUAUCCUUUUUCUUCGUCUCCCAGUACAUAACCUAUGUUUUUUUUCC